This 253-nucleotide ribosomal RNA is filed under the name uncultured bacterium. RNAcentral describes it as "partial 16S ribosomal RNA". It matches the Rfam family "Bacterial small subunit ribosomal RNA", at positions 524 to 776 of the family's 1533-position model. The record is from RNAcentral.
UACGUAGGUGACCAGCGUUGUCCGGAUUUACUGGGCGUAAAGAGCGCGCAGGCGGUCGUUCAAGUCGAGUGUGAAAGCCCCCGGCUCAACUGGGGAGGGUCACUCGAUACUGAUCGACUUGAAGGCAGGAGAGGGAAGCGGAAUUCCCGGUGUAGUGGUGAAAUGCGUAGAUAUCGGGAGGAACACCAGUGGCGAAGGCGGCUUCCUGGCCUGUUCUUGACGCUGAGGAGCGAAAGCGUGGGGAGCGAACAGG